GACGAACCACCCAAACGUUAUUCGGAAUUACUGGGCUUAAAGGGUGCGUAGGCUGUGCGGAAAGUUGGGUGUGAAAUCUCGGGGCUUAACUCCGAAACUGCAUUCGAUACUGCCGUGCUUGAGGACUGGAGAGGAGACUGGAAUUUACGGUGUAGCGGUGAAAUGCGUAGAGAUCGGGAGGAACACCUGUGGCGAAGGCGGCUCGCUGGGCCGGUCCUGACGCUGAGGCGCGAAAGCGUGGGGAGCAAACAGG
This 253-nucleotide ribosomal RNA is filed under the name uncultured bacterium. Its description in RNAcentral is "partial 16S ribosomal RNA". It matches the Rfam family "Bacterial small subunit ribosomal RNA", at positions 524 to 776 of the family's 1533-position model. The record is from RNAcentral.